This 919-nucleotide ribosomal RNA is filed under the name Ganoderma lingzhi. Its description in RNAcentral is "partial large subunit ribosomal RNA". It matches the Rfam family "Eukaryotic large subunit ribosomal RNA", at positions 35 to 941 of the family's 3401-position model. The record is from RNAcentral. Lineage: Eukaryota; Fungi; Basidiomycota; Agaricomycetes; Polyporales; Polyporaceae.
UAAGCAUAUCAAUAAGCGGAGGAAAAGAAACUAACAAGGAUUCCCCUAGUAACUGCGAGUGAAGCGGGAAAAGCUCAAAUUUAAAAUCUGGCGGUCUUUGGCCGUCCGAGUUGUAGUCUGGAGAAGUGCUUUCCGCGCUGGACCGUGUAUAAGUCUCUUGGAACAGAGCGUCAUAGAGGGUGAGAAUCCCGUCUUUGACACGGACUACCAGUGCUUUGUGAUGCGCUCUCAAAGAGUCGAGUUGUUUGGGAAUGCAGCUCAAAAUGGGUGGUGAAUUCCAUCUAAAGCUAAAUAUUGGCGAGAGACCGAUAGCGAACAAGUACCGUGAGGGAAAGAUGAAAAGCACUUUGGAAAGAGAGUUAAACAGUACGUGAAAUUGCUGAAAGGGAAACGCUUGAAGUCAGUCGCGUUGUCCGGAACUCAGCCUUGCUUUUGCUUGGUGCACUUUCCGGAUGACGGGUCAGCAUCGAUUUUGACCGUCGGAAAAGGGCUGGAGUAAUGUGGCACCUCCGGGUGUGUUAUAGACUCUGGUCGCAUACGACGGUUGGGAUCGAGGAACGCAGCGCGCCGCAAGGCAGGGGUUCGCCCACUUUCGCGCUUAGGAUGCUGGCAUAAUGGCUUUAAACGACCCGUCUUGAAACACGGACCAAGGAGUCUAACAUACCUGCGAGUGUUUGGGUGGAAAACCCGAGCGCGUAAUGAAAGUGAAAGUUGAGAUCCCUGUCGUGGGGAGCACCGACGCCCGGACCUGACGUUCUCUGACGGAUCCGCGGUAGAGCAUGUAUGUUGGGACCCGAAAGAUGGUGAACUAUGCCUGAAUAGGGUGAAGCCAGAGGAAACUCUGGUGGAGGCUCGUAGCGAUUCUGACGUGCAAAUCGAUCGUCAAAUUUGGGUAUAGGGGCGAAAGACUAAUCGAACC